RNAcentral lists this ribosomal RNA (468 nucleotides) under uncultured bacterium. Its description in RNAcentral is "partial 16S ribosomal RNA". It matches the Rfam family "Bacterial small subunit ribosomal RNA", at positions 28 to 507 of the family's 1533-position model. The record is from RNAcentral.
GACGAACGCUGGCGGCGUGCUUAACACAUGCAAGUAGAACGGAAAGGCCCUGCUUUUGUGGGGUGCUCGAGUGGCGAACGGGUGAGUAACACGUGAGUAACCUGCCCUUGACUUUGGGAUAACUUCAGGAAACUGGGGCUAAUACCGGAUAGGAGCUCCUGCUGCAUGGUGGGGGUUGGAAAGUUUCGGCGGUUGGGGAUGGACUCGCGGCUUAUCAGCUUGUUGGUGGGGUAGUGGCUUACCAAGGCUUUGACGGGUAGCCGGCCUGAGAGGGUGACCGGCCACAUUGGGACUGAGAUACGGCCCAGACUCCUACGGGAGGCAGCAGUGGGGAAUAUUGCACAAUGGGCGGAAGCCUGAUGCAGCAACGCCGCGUGCGGGAUGACGGCCUUCGGGUUGUAAACCGCUUUCGCCUGUGGCGAAGCGUGAGUGACGGUAAUGGGUAAAGAAGCACCGGCUAACUACGUG